RNAcentral lists this ribosomal RNA (1033 nucleotides) under Kocuria palustris. Its description in RNAcentral is "bacterial SSU rRNA". It matches the Rfam family "Bacterial small subunit ribosomal RNA", at positions 388 to 1430 of the family's 1533-position model. The record is from RNAcentral. Lineage: Bacteria; Bacillati; Actinomycetota; Actinomycetes; Micrococcales; Micrococcaceae.
GCAGCGACGCCGCGUGAGGGAUGACGGCCUUCGGGUUGUAAACCUCUUUCAGCAGGGAAGAAGCCACAAGUGACGGUACCUGCAGAAGAAGCGCCGGCUAACUACGUGCCAGCAGCCGCGGUAAUACGUAGGGCGCAAGCGUUGUCCGGAAUUAUUGGGCGUAAAGAGCUCGUAGGCGGUUUGUCGCGUCUGCUGUGAAAGCCCGGGGCUUAACCCCGGGUGUGCAGUGGGUACGGGCAGACUAGAGUGCAGUAGGGGAGACUGGAAUUCCUGGUGUAGCGGUGGAAUGCGCAGAUAUCAGGAGGAACACCGAUGGCGAAGGCAGGUCUCUGGGCUGUUACUGACGCUGAGGAGCGAAAGCAUGGGGAGCGAACAGGAUUAGAUACCCUGGUAGUCCAUGCCGUAAACGUUGGGCACUAGGUGUGGGGGACAUUCCACGUUUUCCGCGCCGUAGCUAACGCAUUAAGUGCCCCGCCUGGGGAGUACGGCCGCAAGGCUAAAACUCAAAGGAAUUGACGGGGGCCCGCACAAGCGGCGGAGCAUGCGGAUUAAUUCGAUGCAACGCGAAGAACCUUACCAAGGCUUGACAUAUACCGGAUCGUUCCAGAGAUGGUUCUUCCCCUUUGGGGUCGGUAUACAGGUGGUGCAUGGUUGUCGUCAGCUCGUGUCGUGAGAUGUUGGGUUAAGUCCCGCAACGAGCGCAACCCUCGUUCCAUGUUGCCAGCACGUGAUGGUGGGGACUCAUGGGAGACUGCCGGGGUCAACUCGGAGGAAGGUGGGGAUGACGUCAAAUCAUCAUGCCCCUUAUGUCUUGGGCUUCACGCAUGCUACAAUGGCCGGUACAAAGGGUUGCGAUACUGUGAGGUGGAGCUAAUCCCAAAAAGCCGGUCUCAGUUCGGAUUGAGGUCUGCAACUCGACCUCAUGAAGUCGGAGUCGCUAGUAAUCGCAGAUCAGCAACGCUGCGGUGAAUACGUUCCCGGCCUUGUACACCACCGUCCGUCAAGUCACGAAAGUCGUAUCACCCGAAGCCGG